AAAAAAAAAACAAUGAACUUUUUGGACAAUAUGCUUCGUAUACUUCAUUCACUGAGUAUGCAAUCUAGAUUCACAAAGCUAGUUUUUAGGGUGACACUUCAUUCAGUGGAUAUGCAACUUAGAUUCCCAAAGCAAUAGGCCAGCAUUGGGACUGACUAGAUGUAGCAAAAUGACCCCAAUUUUCUAUACCAUGGUUUAGGGACACAAAACCAGGGAACACUUAACCAGGCCUAUUCUACUGGGGUGAUCAAAGAAGAGUUAAACAAAUCCAACCACAAGCACAAAAUAAAGCCCAUGUGAGCGGCACACGGCACACAUGUAACUUUAUAUUAUAAAUCAUUUCCUCAUAUUUUCAAAGGAAAGGAAGUUCUAUAAAGUGAUUGUAUUUACUACACAUCUGGUAUCAGAGAUAUUCAAGAUUGCUAUAAAAUGAUUAUUUAUAACUCAAUAGCUACUCUUGUUUACUACAUAGAAUACAUCACCAUCCCAUAUUGUUACAUUAAAUCAGCAUUUUCCCCACUUUUACUGCAUUUGUUAUCAAGCCUGUGGCUCAGGCAAAAAUGCCUUACAAAGAGCAGCCUAGAAGGUAAUAAAUAAGAUGCACUUCUAAUCUGCCUGGGGUUCGAAAGUUUAUUCCAGCUGAGUCCACAUGUAACCCAGAGAAGAAGCCCCUCUGUUUGUUCCCUUAGGCAUUCUUCCCUCUUGGAAUACAUUUCAAGGAGGGGCAGGGUAAUAUCAUCUUAGGUACAGAGCUCUGUAGGAGUACAAAGUACCCUAUGGAGCUAAGGCAGUGAGAAGACUGGACUGGGCAUUGGAUAGUGCUGACGGAGUGGGCAGGUUUUGUUCUUGUGGUCAUUCAGCAUCCACUCCUCCUUCUUUGGUAGUUGCAUUCCAAUUUGGGGGACGGAGGAUAGAAUUAUUCCUCCCUUAUGAGAUGAGUUUGGAGGAGAUUUUUACUCAAGGCUCCAUGCCUUUCUCUGGUUAAGGGAUAUUCACUUGACACAAGCAAGACCAAGUGAGCUCUUCCUAACCCAGGAGCCUCUCUGGGAUUUGAAUCACAAUCCCUCCUUGUGUGGAGGAAGACAAGAAACAGAGUGAUGAAAAGACAGAAAGCCAUCAGAGUUCAUUCAUUCGAGUGGUGGUUCUUGGAUAAGACUGCCCCCAUAUCCUAAAACCCCAAGAAAGCACCCGGUCCCUGUCCUCUGUAAGCCUGGUUCUAAAAUCCUAGGAGCCCCCUCAAACUCUUCCAAUAAAUUCCCCUGUGACUUUGUGGUUAACUUAGCUAGACUCUCUGUCUAUUACUUGCCAUCAAAGAACUUGAAGCCUAAACCCUGGGGCUGCCACGCCUUAGCUGAGUGGUCUUGAAAACUCACUUCACUCAACCCUAAAACAAACAGGACACAACCUGUCCUAUGGAGUUGAUCACACAAAUUGGCAAAUAGGAAAUUCCCAAUCUGGCGAGCGAGAUGGAUUGAGUUUACGCUGCUUCACACACUCUCUGGAGACUCCUUAAAGAUGUAUGUUGUAUAAAGAAUCAAUUCCAACUGCAGAAUGAAUGCUGACAGGCACCAUCAGCUCCUGCCCGUGUGUCUUCAACUCUCUCCCAUUGGAAAAAUCAAUGAAUCAGUAAUAAUAUUGUCCCCUCCUUCCUGUAAAGGAAAUCUGAGCUAAAUCCCAAGGCUGCCAUGUAAAUUUCCUCAUAUUGUUGCUUUCCUUCCCCCUCUCCCGCCCCAAGCCUUUGACAAAAAUGAUGGGCUGUGAUCUGUGUCCUAGUAGCAGGAAGCCUGUCAGACCUGACUCUUGCUGACUCUUUCAUCUCCCGGCAGCUCCAGGAAGCAAAAGAAAAAAAAAAAAAAAAGGUGGGGGAAUCUGCUGCCAUCACCCCCAUCCAAACCAGGCUCAGGAAAUUUUCCAGGGCCAGGCUGCCUUUGUGGAAGCUAUGUAAGGACUGGAGAAACACAUGUUCUCAUGCAAACAAACCCCAAAACAAAACAAGGGAUCCUGCCUUUGUACCUGGCCUGUCUCCAAAGGUGGUACAUUAUCUCCAAAGGUGGCCACCAUCAUUUCCUUCUCUCCCUAUAUGUGAUUUCCUUCUCUAUUGGCUCCAUUCAUCAAGAAGUAGAGGUGAUUCCUGCUCUUCCUCUUUGAACUUGGGCCAGCCUUGUGAUUUGCCUUGACCAACUGGACAUGGAGGAAGUGAUACUGUGCCGGUGCUUAGCCCGGCCUUUUAGAGGCCUGGCAUCUUCAGCUCUCUCUCAGGAGAAUACUUGUACCUGGAUCUUCACUAGGGGCAGCCAGGGCAGAAUGCGGUGUUCUCAAGACUGCCAUGCUGGCUCAUCCAUACCUUGUUGGACUUGAUAAGUAUCGUAACCUAAUGAAGGAUGCCAUUCUGUGCUCUGCAAGGCCUGGGGGAGCCCCAGUGGGAAGGGAUCCAGAUGGUGCUGGGCCUGGGCCAAAAGUGAAAUGGGGGAGGACGGGUCCUUUCUCUCCUUUGUCCCUAACCUCCCCACUUCCUACUGCUGUCUGACUCAGAACCCUCAUGAAAAACCCAACUUUUUACACUGAUAUUUCCCAGAGGCCUAAUUGUGCAACAAGAAAUAAAAACACAAUUAGGGAACUGAGGUCCAGCAGGAAAUUCAUGUUACAUAAAUAAGACCUGGAGUGCAUAGGGGAGUGCCCCAGCUCUCAGCCUUGUUAGUAUUGAAGGCUCCGAGCACACAGAUCUGGGAUCCUCUGAUUUGGUGGAUAACCCUUGUGAACAAUAAUUCUCUGAAAAGGUAUUUGGAGGAAAGAGACUUUAUUCCUGUAAACAGUUUUCAAACUAGGGGAAUGCAGCUUUCAGUGUAAAAUGAAGGUGCUUUCCAGACAACAAAGGAGGGGCUGGGCUUUUAUAGAGAAAGUUCCUGCCCUGUUCCCACUCAGGUCCACUUAUGCAAAUAAAGGAUUCAAACUUGCUUAA
This 2959-nucleotide long non-coding RNA is filed under the name Homo sapiens (human). RNAcentral describes it as "HSALNT0357083". Lineage: Eukaryota; Metazoa; Chordata; Mammalia; Primates; Hominidae. The record is from RNAcentral.